UGUCUAAGUAGCUCAGUUGGUAGAGCACGAUAAAACAGGUCUUGCUAAAGACCUUAACAGCAACUCUUAACACCUUUUAAGUGCGUUGUCGCGGGUUCGACUCCCGUCUUGGCAA
RNAcentral lists this transfer RNA (115 nucleotides) under Lachnospiraceae bacterium. RNAcentral's name for it is "tRNA-OTHER". It matches the Rfam family "tRNA". From Rfam's summary of the family: Transfer RNA (tRNA) molecules are approximately 80 nucleotides in length. Their secondary structure includes four short double-helical elements and three loops (D, anti-codon, and T loops). Further hydrogen bonds mediate the characteristic L-shaped molecular structure. tRNAs have two regions of fundamental functional importance: the anti-codon, which is responsible for specific mRNA codon recognition, and the 3' end, to which the tRNAs corresponding amino acid is attached (by aminoacyl-tRNA synthetases). tRNAs cope with the degeneracy of the genetic code in two manners: having more than one tRNA (with a specific anti-codon) for a particular amino acid; and 'wobble' base-pairing, i.e. permitting non-standard base-pairing at the 3rd anti-codon position. Lineage: Bacteria; Bacillati; Bacillota; Clostridia; Lachnospirales; Lachnospiraceae. The record is from RNAcentral.